CUCUCCUGGCAAUGGGCAAAGAGGCACGUGGUUGUUGGUGGUGUUCUUCUGUCAGCAGGGGCAGAGCAGAUGGCAGGCCUUUGUUCAUCCUAGCUUGAUGCCUGGCCUGGUGGCCAAAGCUGCCUUACGCUUAGGACUCAAAG
This is a small nucleolar RNA of Mastomys coucha (southern multimammate mouse), 143 nucleotides long. RefSeq annotates it as small nucleolar RNA SNORA48. The transcript has a single exon. The record is from RefSeq and is a predicted model, not a curated record. Lineage: Eukaryota; Metazoa; Chordata; Mammalia; Rodentia; Muridae.